Molecule: long non-coding RNA, 308 nt
Organism: Amblyraja radiata (thorny skate)
Lineage: Eukaryota; Metazoa; Chordata; Chondrichthyes; Rajiformes; Rajidae
Exons: 2
Source: RefSeq, a predicted model, not a curated record
UUCUCCUGUGAUAUUGUUUUGUAAGUGUUGUUGAAAUAUUAACCCCAGUCCCUGUUAUUGACACUGUUGUUUCAUCUGUUUAUGUCCUCUUUAUUCCUCGACUUGAUGCAGGCUGGGGAAGAAUAAGUUCAGUCCGACCGAGAAGAAGGAACUGAGGUCGGUGCAAGAACCCAAACCCAGACUGAGAGUGGACGUGUGAACAUCUCGGGGUGUAAACGUCACCGCCCUGGGGACCGGAAUAUUGUUGGCCGAUUCCCCGCCCUCCCCUUUAAACGGCCGCCCUCCCCUUUAAACGGCCGCCCACCCCU